Long non-coding RNA from Orcinus orca (killer whale), 604 nucleotides. RefSeq lists it as uncharacterized. The record is from RefSeq and is a predicted model, not a curated record. The transcript has 2 exons. Lineage: Eukaryota; Metazoa; Chordata; Mammalia; Artiodactyla; Delphinidae.
UGCAAGGUGCUUUAGGUUCUCAAUCAAAGCUCUGAAAUAAGCCUCUUCAAAACUGCCAUCCUUGGGCAAGAUUUUUCAAGGAACUUCCCAAGACCAGAGGCAGUAUCACCCAGAACUGGGAAGACUGGAAGCUGCUUAUCACGGGCCUUCACCCAGACUGCCACUCCCGAGAGGCAAACACAGGGGAGAUCGAGGAUGCAGCGACGCCGCCCAGGGAUGCUCUGCAGAUACCCCAAUUCUGGGCUUCCCUGGUGGUGUAGUGGUUAAGAAUCCACCUGCCAAUGCAAGGGACACGGGUUUGAGCCCUGGCCGGGGAAGAUCCCACAUGCCGCAGAGCAACUAAGCCCGUGCACCACAACUACUGAGCCCACGUGCCACAACUACUGAAGCCCAUGUGCCUAGAGCCCGUGCUCAGCAACAAGAAAAAACACUGCAGUGAGAAGCCCACGCACUGCAACUACUGAAGCCCACGUGCCUAGAGCCUGUGGUCCGCAAUGAAGAGGUGCCCCCGCUCUUCGCAACUAGAGAAAGCCCAUGCACAGCAACAAAGACCCAAUGCAGCCAUAAAUAAAUAAGUAAAUAAAUAAAAUUUAUUAAAAACCAA